This 480-nucleotide ribosomal RNA is filed under the name uncultured bacterium. RNAcentral's name for it is "bacterial SSU rRNA". It matches the Rfam family "Bacterial small subunit ribosomal RNA", at positions 28 to 507 of the family's 1533-position model. The record is from RNAcentral.
GACGAACGCUGGCGGCAUGCCUAACACAUGCAAGUCGAACGGAGCCAAUCAAAAGAUCCCUUCGGGGUGAAUUUGAGGAAGCUUAGUGGCGGACGGGUGAGUAACGCGUGAGUAACCUGCCUUUCAGAGGGGGAUAACGUUCCGAAAGGAACGCUAAUACCGCAUAACGUAUUUUUACCGCAUGAUAGAAAUACCAAAGAUUUAUCGCUGAAAGAUGGACUCGCGUCUGAUUAGCUAGUUGGAGGGGUAACGGCCCACCAAGGCGACGAUCAGUAGCCGAACUGAGAGGUUGAUCGGCCACAUUGGGACUGAGAUACGGUCCAGACUCCUACGGGAGGCAGCAGUGGGGAAUAUUGGGCAAUGGGCGAAAGCCUGACCCAGCGACGCCGCGUGAAGGAAGAAGGUCUUCGGAUUGUAAACUUCUUUUAUCAGGGACGAAUACUGACGGUACCUGAUGAAUAAGCCACGGCUAACUACGUG